GGGCCAGGAAGGUUAGUUCUGUGGAGAAGUUUUACUAGGAUGUGUUUCACCGGAUCAUUCGGGAUCGGUGUCUCCUGGUACCCACCAGGUCCUUUCAAAUAUGUAGAUUUACAUCGUUUACCUCUGGAAUGUUUUCCAGGAUGAUAGUUUUAAAUGUUAGUUCUGUUACGUCGUUAUAAUUUUCUUCUUUAGGGACACCAAUUAUACACACUGUGAAGGAGAUACAACUUCCCUGAGGACCAAAAUGAAUUUUUAACAAAGCAAGGACACAGCAGAGGGGAAACAGCAAACGUAACAUAGGCACACAAAAAGAGCAGAGGGUCUCUUGUUUCCAUGUUCUUCAGCUGGGACCACAGGCAUGAAGAAAUAUUCUGGAUGAGAGACAGAUGAUUUGAGUUUUCGUUCUGCCACAGACAUGAGUGAUCCUGGGCAAGUCGCGGAACCAUCCUGAAUGUGGAAGUGAAAUUGGUAAAGCAGGGCUAAAAUCCAGACAAGUGGGGCUCAAUAAAGUAAUGCUGAGUUGGAACGGGCUUUGUGAGGUACAAAGUUUCACCUGACGCCCCGCCAGGCUAGAAGGCAGGAGCUCAGUCUCUGCUUGUUCAACAUUUCUGAGGACCUACUGAGUUGUCCUUCCCUGGGCCCUGGGCAUGCAGAAAGAAGAAGGCAUAUCUCCCGCCUUGAGGGGAUCACAGCCACAUGCGGAGGACAGCCAUGCAAACAAGCAAACCCAGUGCUGCUUCCCGCCCUCCCGACUCCUUACUGCAGGGUGUCCUCGUCAAGUGACAUUUCUUCUGCGACUGUAUGUCUCCGCUCAGAGACCCCAUGCAACGCUUCAGAUGAAAAGCCUUUAAAUUCCAGCGUCACGUUAUCAAUCCUUAUG
RNAcentral lists this long non-coding RNA (880 nucleotides) under Equus caballus (horse). RNAcentral describes it as "lncRNA (ENSECAG00000057666.1)". Lineage: Eukaryota; Metazoa; Chordata; Mammalia; Perissodactyla; Equidae. The record is from RNAcentral.